ACUCAAAUCAUGAGUUCCUUUUAGUUUUAGCGCACGGCUCAAUCCCUUGAGCCAUUCCCCUUGCUCGGGACAACCUUGGAUUGGUCCCGAGCAUUUUUU
Molecule: small RNA, 99 nt
Filed under: Pseudidiomarina tainanensis
Lineage: Bacteria; Pseudomonadati; Pseudomonadota; Gammaproteobacteria; Alteromonadales; Idiomarinaceae
Source: RNAcentral